This 526-nucleotide ribosomal RNA is filed under the name Enterobacter cancerogenus. Its description in RNAcentral is "bacterial SSU rRNA". It matches the Rfam family "Bacterial small subunit ribosomal RNA", at positions 1 to 522 of the family's 1533-position model. The record is from RNAcentral. Lineage: Bacteria; Pseudomonadati; Pseudomonadota; Gammaproteobacteria; Enterobacterales; Enterobacteriaceae.
UGGAGAGUUUGAUCCUGGCUCAGAUUGAACGCUGGCGGCAGGCCUAACACAUGCAAGUCGAACGGUAGCACAGAGAGCUUGCUCUCGGGUGACGAGUGGCGGACGGGUGAGUAAUGUCUGGGAAACUGCCUGAUGGAGGGGGAUAACUACUGGAAACGGUAGCUAAUACCGCAUAACGUCGCAAGACCAAAGAGGGGGACCUUCGGGCCUCUUGCCAUCAGAUGUGCCCAGAUGGGAUUAGCUAGUAGGUGGGGUAACGGCUCACCUAGGCGACGAUCCCUAGCUGGUCUGAGAGGAUGACCAGCCACACUGGAACUGAGACACGGUCCAGACUCCUACGGGAGGCAGCAGUGGGGAAUAUUGCACAAUGGGCGCAAGCCUGAUGCAGCCAUGCCGCGUGUAUGAAGAAGGCCUUCGGGUUGUAAAGUACUUUCAGCGGGGAGGAAGGSRAUAAGGUUAAUAACCUUGUYSAUUGACGUUACCCGCAGAAGAAGCACCGGCUAACUCCGUGCCAGCAGCCGCGGUA